RNAcentral lists this long non-coding RNA (8229 nucleotides) under Volvox carteri. RNAcentral describes it as "long non-coding RNA (VCAR_LNC001979)". Lineage: Eukaryota; Viridiplantae; Chlorophyta; Chlorophyceae; Chlamydomonadales; Volvocaceae. The record is from RNAcentral.
GCGAUUCGCGGUUUAAGGUCCUGGGUUCGAUUCCUGGGGAGACCCCCGAAUUAGUCGGGAGCGCGAGAUUAUGGCUAGCUGCUGAAAUGUGGAGUUGAGGUCGCAGUUGAUGGACCAGAUUCGCACGCUAGAUUGGUGGCGAUUGCCGAACCCUCCGUCUCUUCGGGUGUUCGGGUGAAUGGAUGAGGAGGGGUCCUAGACGGCUGGACCCGCCGCCUUGGACUUACAGUUCGUAUGGCGAAGUAUAGUGUGGUAGUGGUGGACGGUGCUAUAAGAUGAUACAUCGUAGAACUGACAAUGUGAUAAAACGGCCCAGAAGCCCCCCACUCUGUAACAUUACAUUACAUUGCAUCCAGUGACCGGUCGCUUGCGUGCAAGCUGCAGAAGUCUAUUUACGGUUUAAAGCAGGCACCCCGUUGCUGGUAUGAAAAACUAUCAGCAGGGUUCGCCAAGUUGGGUCUUUAUCCUUCGAAGUCUGAUCCGGCGAUGUUUGUUAAGACGGACGAGCGUGGGGUUGUUAUUGCUUUGGUGCACGUAGAUGAUACAAUUGUUGCGUCGGAAGACCCGGAAAUGGUCCGGGCAAUUAAAACCGCAAUUGCGAAGGUCUUCAAGGUGCGCGACCUUGGAGAAGCGAAGGUGUUUUUGGGCAUGGAAAUUAGGAGGGAGAAGUCGGGUGAGAUAGUGUUGUCGCAGCAUAGGUAUAUUGCGCAGCUGUUGGAGCGUCAUAGGAUGAUUGACGCCAAGCCGAGGUCUACCCCUUUGCCUCCGGGCUUUAGGUACACUCCUAAGGGGGACGAAGAGGAGCUGCUGGGCAAUCCCACCGAGUAUAGGGCUUUGGUGGGAGAAUUGAACUAUCUGGCGACGAACACGCGGCCUGACAUUUCAUAUGCAUUGAGCGUUUUGUCCCGGCAUAUGGCCGCACCCACGAAGUGUGCCAUGAACCUGGCAACUGGCGUUCUGCGUUACCUGGCGGGGACUCGCGAACUAGGAUUGCGUUUUGGGGGUGUUGGCGACGUUGCUAUGUCCGGGUACAGUGAUUCUGACUGGGCAGGAGACCCAGUUACGCGGCGUUCUACGUCCGGUUACGUUUUCACUCUUAAUGGGGCUGCGAUUAGCUGGAGCAGCCAACUCAACGUACUGUGGCGGCUUCAUCGGUGGAGGCCGAGUAUCAAGCGACAGCGGCAGCUGUUCGUGAGGCUUUGUGGCUUCGCUUGUGGUUGAUUUGGGUUUGCCUGAGAGCGCUAUCAAGAUCCAAAUAGAUUCCCAAGGGGCGCUUAGCUUAGGAAAUAACCCGAUUACGUCUGCUCGGUCGAAGCACAUCGACGUGCAGCAUCACAUAGUGCGUGAAAGGGUGAAUAGCGGUGAGGUGCAGUUGGAGUACUGCCCUACGGAGUGGAUGGUUGCGGAUGUACUAACGAAGGCUCUGGGCGAGGUGAAGUUCAAACGUUGCCGAGAUGCUAUGGGCCUUGUCUGAAGUGUGCAGAUGAACUUGGUACUCGUUGGGAUACGGCCCGAGGGGGCGUGUUAAGGAAACGGUCCUCUCCCAACUCGUGUGGUUGUCGACCAGGGGAUUUGACCCCGGGUCUACGCCUGACUAAUGGGGAAGACUUACCCCAGAACCUUAUGGGGCUACCGAUGCAUAUCCGGUAGCUAAGUGAUAGACAUUAGGGCACCGUCUGGACGGCGCAGUGAGAUCGCGGAAUGUACGUGCAGUUAGAUCGCGGAAUGUACGAGUUUUCCGCUAGCGCCGGUAUUUAGGACGGUGACUGCGCCUAUUAGUUUAUCUCACAACGAUCGGUAUUCCUACUAGGAAUCUCCUCAAGUCCUGCCGAACGUUAACAAUACUCUUUACAUUACUUGUAACAGUUUAUCGUGCUAAAUAUCUUCGCCACCGGCAAUCCUUCCGAAAUAACAAUCAGCGUUAGCCGUCACCGUCGCCAAUUCUUCAAUACUAGUUCGCGUACGGCGUUAGAUCAUAAGGUUCAACCUGCCGUACUUCGCGUUAGUGAGGUGCGUCCCAGCGGCGUACUUGUUCUGCAAGGUCAAGACGGUCAAACCAUGCAAACGCAUUUUGAUGCACUGUGCACCUUGUCAUUUGCCCAUUUUAGACGAGGCUAUCGAUCCUCGCUUGUCCCGACCUCAUGCUAAUUUGUCCUGUGAGGUUUGCAAAAUGCCUGAUGCUUCUCUGUGAUAAGUGUGGGACGGGUUGGCACACUUAUUGCCUUAAGCCGCCUCUCAAACAAAUCCCUUGGGUGUGUCCUAAUUGUCUUUCUAAAGGCAUCACCGUAGCACAAAUAAACUCACGAUCUUUAGAUAACUCUGGUAGUAAUUCCAAUAAAUCGAGCACUAAGCCUGUUCCUCCGCAAUAUCUUGCCGAACUACAAGGGUCACGAGUAUUUGGAUCUAAUUCCGGACCCUCUGGCAGUCGUGCCGCGAGAACCGGUGUCGCUACCUAUGCCGGUAAACGAGGCAGGAAGCAUUUCUUCGAGGUGCUUUAUCAGGACGGCGAAUUGGAGCUGGUGGAUGUUGUGCAGCUGCGCAAUAUGCUUGCACCUAAGUCUGCCCGCCCAGGGCGAGCGGUGGGAGUAGCAGCGGUUGCAGCAGCCGCAUUGAAGCUGGAGCACUGGAGUUUGGAUUCAGCCGCGGACGUUCCGAUGGCGCUGGAUCUGGCUAUGGCGGGAGACCACUCAGUAUUCAAGAUAGCUUUGGUCACCAAUCAAUUAUUCGAGCAACGUCUUCUACUUCCGUCCGUACCACAGCGGCAUGUCGACGUGUUGCGAGGAGCGUUGCGUUGGAGCUUACGUAAUUCUGCCUUACGAGGCGCGCGCGUCUUAAAGGAAAGCCGGUAAAAUUCAGUGAUCCCUUGUCGCCUCAGUUUUACGAUGGCGUAGAUAAGCAGUUUACAUCUGUAGACGCAGCAGUGUUGUCAAUUACUGGAGCGUUGUUAGAUUUGGCAAUUCCAGCAGCGAUUAAGUUGGUUAAGGGCUUUGUGGUCGCUAGAGUUCCGGUUAAUCACAUAUCGGGUGCUGAUGAAGCGCGCAUGAAGUGGUUGCGCACUCUGCAGGAUAAGGAUUGUUUGUUGAUGUUGAGUUGUCCUUCCGUUGAGUCUGAGUACCAGUCUUUUAUCUGGCUGAUUGUGUUCACCAAUCCGGUUAUCAAGCGUGUGAUUUUGAAGGAUAGCAGCUUAGCUGAGCAAUUACUUUGAGGGUCCGCUUUCCACGGGCAUUCACCAUCUCGGCUUCGCCCGCUGGGGGGGGAGUCUGCCGUACGCACGUGUUUUGUUCGGUGCUACAGUCGCUACAGUAUGACGCGACAGCUGUCACGACAUUUUAGCGCCACGUUCAUUUUACCGUCUUUCAUAAUCGUCUUAGGUUAUUAUUGGUAUGAUUACGCGAAUUUCGCUAAUCGACUUCUGGACAAGACGCGAAUGUACGCUCGUUUGCGUAUGUUUAUGUAUUUUACUUGUACUGAAUUGUUCAUUUCUUGUGUGAAUGUUCUGUCACACGGUUAUAAGGUGUUUCACUUGUGUCAUUUGUGGACUAUACGUCGUGGUCGUACUCGAGGCUUAUCUUUUGAGGGCCUCCUGUGAUCGACAGUGUGACUUCGGUAUUUAUAGCCACAGCGAGCUUGGAAAAGUCGCUUUUUAUGGCUCUCUUAUGGCCUAUGCCCAUGCAGGAGGCAACGCCCAUCAACGCCCAUCAACGCCCAUAGCCUUCACGCCGGGCACACUCAGAAUGUGUGUGUGUGUGGUUGUUACAGUGGGCUCCAGACUCCCGAAGAGUAGAGCAAUCGGGCCAGCUGGCCGUGCACUGCAGUAGAGACUAAUAUACCAAUAGAGACCAUCACCUCAGAUAAUUAACCGCUCAUCGGUAACCGCUCCCUUGAUCACAGCAAUUUGCCAGAUAUAAUUCUCAAGAAGGGGUGAUGUGCGCCAACAGAAUCCCAACCUUUCCGUGGAAUUCCCAAAGCUGCGAAACCCUGAAUGCGGCCCCAAAAGUCAACAAUAACUCGACAAAUGGCUUCUUCCGAAAGGGAAGGGCCAGGUAACAGUGCCGGGUUGGUUUUCAUGUUUGCAGUGUUGAAGGGCGGUCCUAUCCCAAGAUAGGUAGUUAGGCGAUGAAUCCGCCGUGAUAGGCGAUGCCUCGGACAUGCCUCGACCUUGCCUCGGCCGUGCCUCGACCUUGCCUCGGGUCUCUCGGCCGCGUAUCUUGGACGUGUCCUCAGGUCCAGGGAUGGUGGACGACUGUACGAUACUUCCGUUGGUAUCGGUACAUAAGGCCAGAGUGGUGCAUGUCUUUCUAUCUCAUCUUCGGAUGGAUCGGUAUUCCUUCAUAGGAAUCUCCUAAAGUCUUCUUGCCGUUCACCACUAACCCACAGACUGUAACCCUUAUAUCGCGACCAGUCUACUUGCCUCCUUCAUAUUCUUAACAGGUUAUGAGUCCCGGCUCACGCUAGUAGCUUACAUAGCUAGCGUGAAGAAGGCAUAGGACGCCUGCAAGCAAUUACAGUCGGACUUGUUUGGGAGUGGGACACGUUAGCAGCGAUUCUGAGCGGGCACAGACUUUGCUUGUUGGUUUGCCCAGCCGCUUCAGCAUGGUAACGACAUCCCUACUGGUGCGUGACGGUGAUUCGGACGUGGCUAUCGUCAACUCGAUAUUUUUGACAAUCGAGAUGGCAAGCGAUGGCUCUGGUAAGCCUACCGAGUCGGCAGCUUUUGCUUCUGUCGGCAGUUUUUCGUUUGGCGCCUCUGGUUCUGGUCUUGAGAAUCGUAGCGCGGCCAGCAGCAGUUCUGGCGUUCCUCUCAAAGAGGUGAUUUGCUUCUAUCGCAGCAAGACUGGGCCCGGUGGGUCUAGCAAGGGAUCAGUUUUCCUGGAGCAGGUUGCGUUUGUAGCUUACAUCAGUAAGCGUCUGAGGGAUCCUGGCCGAAUAUGGGAAUGGAGGACAGUAUCGUGUUGUGCACGUCACCAAUGUCCGCCUUGAUGAGUUUAAUGUCGGCCGGCGGCACAAUGCCAGGGAUGCUGAUGAUGGGUCCGAUGCCGACGAGGGUUGCACACUAGGUUGCCUGGUGAGGGGUCGCUGCCUAGGGCUGGCGAAUGGACAUUAGGCAAUACCGUCAACACGGGAUCGCCGCAUCUGGGUGGCGAGGGGGCGCUGGCUGGGGCUGGACCUCCCAGAAGUUGUUAAGACCAGCAAAGCGCCGGACCCCCGUUGGGUCCUAUUACUGUGGCUACCAUUCACUGGUAUAUGAGUGUCGGUCAUUUCCAACACCCCCCCGUGAGCGACACUCUCUCGCUCCGGGCCUUCCCGUGCCUCAUCCCGGUCUCCCAUUCUCUGGGCAACAGCCAGUGGGUAUCGAUCCGGCGACCUCUCGGCAGCGCAAUGCGCCAUUCGGGGCUCAUAACCUGUUAAGACCAGCAAAGCGCCGGACCCCCGUUGGGUCCUAUUACUGUGGCUACCAUUCACUGGUAUAUGAGUGUCGGUCAUUUCCAACAGAAGUGUGAGUGUGCAAGGAAAUACACACAUGUGGAAAUGCUGGGUGCUCGGUAUUCAGUUAGGGAAUGCAAACGUCCUGGCGAGUGUUGAUGAAGUGUACCUGGUCGUAGUGCUACAAGCCGAGUCGUUGCUGCUGGGAUUCAGAACCUAACUUUUAUGCCGAUGGCAUCUCACGCCCACAUGCAGACGACUGGCGGCCGUGUACCGUGAACAUUUUGUAAUUGUAAUUGUAAUUGUAAUGUUACAGAGUGGGAGGCUUCUGGGCCGCUUUAUCACAUUGUCAGUUCUAGAUCAUUUAUCACCUUAUAGCACCUUCCACCACUACCACACUGUACUUCGCCAUACGAACUGUAAGUCCAAGGCGGCGGAUCCAGCAUCCAGGGACCCCUCCUCAUCCAUUCACCCGAACACCCGAAGAGACGGAGGGUUCGGCAAUCGCCACCAAUCCAGCGUGCGAAUCUGGUCCAUCAACUGUGACCUCAACUCCACAUCUCAGCAGCUAGCCAUAAUCUCGCGCUCCCGACUAAUUCGGGGGUCUCCCCAGGAAUCGAACCCAGGACCUUAAACCGCUAAUUGCAGUAGUGUCAACCCAGACCAGAACAUUUUGUAUCCAGUCGACCCAACCGGACAGCGUGGAUUGCAGCAGGCGAUCGUUUGCUACAACUACCAACAGACGGGCCGUAUAGCUCGGAGUUGCAGAGAGAUUAGCUGCCUAACGUGCAGGGAAGGAGUGGAGGUGGUCUUGGCACCCACACGUGGCAGGUGGGGUAGCAUGCCUCAACAGACAGGCGGUGGCGGCAGUGCAGUGAUGCCGUGUAUUUUUUUGCUGCAAGAUACGAACCACUAUGAAUUGUCUGUCUCCGAAGCGGCUAGUAUUGGAGUACCUGAGUCAGGGCCUUUGCCAGCGGCAAGCCACCGCAGGAGUUCAGAAGAAGAGGGCAGGGAAUAUGAGCAGAUAAUGUGGCCUUCGGAGUGGUGUAGUGGUGAUGCAGGAAGGAGGAUAGGAAGUCGCAUUCACUUGGCUGUCAUUGAUCCGAACCCUGCUGAGCUUUUGCUGAGUAUCGACCAGGGGAUUUGACCCCGGGUCUGUGCCUGACUAAUGGGGAAGACUUACCCCAGAACCUUAUGGGCUAAUAUCCGGUAGCUAAGAGAUAGACAUUGGGCACCGUCAGGACGGCGCAGUGAGAUCGCGGAAUGUACGUGCAGUUAGAUCGCGGAAUGUACGAGUUUUCCGCUAGCGCCGGUAUUUAGGGCGGUGACUGCGCUUAUUUGUUUAUCUCACUACGAUCGGUAUUCCUUAAAGGAAUCUCCUCAAGUCCUGCCGAACGCUAAUAAUACUCUUUACAUAACUUGUAACAUUUUAUCGUGCUAAAUAUCUUCGCCACCGGCAAUUCUUCCGAGAUAACAAUCAGCGUUGGCCGUCACCGUCGCCAAUUCUCCAAUAUACGAUAGGGGCACAGGGAUUUAGCGAGUGGGGCCUGCGGUUGGAGGUAUUGAUCCACUAUUUGAUGCCAAGCCUUGCGUAUUGCUAGGCCUGCCGUUGCAUUCAUAACUCCAUCCAAGGCCUCGCGCGCGCGAAGAACAUCCCCCAACGUAUGCAAUGCUUUACAGCCCAGGAGGGCUUGGUGUCGAAAUUCUAGUCCCGGGCGGAUGUUAUCUGACGGGACAUUCAACCUUUUUUCUGGAAGAACAGGGUUUCCCCACAAAGGCAAAUUCCAACACCACGCAUUAGGAACUAACGGGUGAUCAUCAACAUCUUCCACUGGGGGAAGGUAUGCCAACGCUGUCACAAUGCGCUGAACAUCUGGCGGUAAAACGAUUAAUCCAAACCAAGGCACUCCCACCUGGGACGUAAAAAUACACAUAGGAUUGUACUUGGGGUAAAGGCUACGCAGGAAAGAGUGCAUGACCAACACCCAUGGCGGACGCACUAAGACUGGUUGGAGUAAUGCUCUCACAAAACGCACUGCCCAGCACGCCCAUCGCGCUUGUACAUGUUCUCGAACUGCUAAUGCCCCAAAACCGCCCAAAGUUGGAUGGCCAUAUAACAAAUAUUUAGGAAUUCCGGUGAGUCGUCUGUCAUGUGCGACCGGUCCGAGGUUCAAAUCAAUAAGCUUGGCAGCUUUAGCCUCAAUAUUAAUGAGUUUUGCUUCUGGGGGAAAUCCCCCGUGUUCCAUAUGCCACGUAAAACGAUGCAACCCAUAGGCAGCCGCUGCAUGUGCACGCCCAAACAUGGAAUGGUUUAACACAGAAAUGCGUCGAGCCCAGACUUUGUCUAGUUGCACGUCCCAGUCCAUGACUGUGGUGUCCCCCACAUCCGUAAAAGGCAGAUUGAGAGCCGUUGCCCUGUGUACGACCUUCAUGUCAUGAUUUAUUGUGAUAUGAUGUGGGUGGGUGCCGAGAGGUAAAAGCUCAACCUUAUCCAGGUUAAGUUGCUGUCCAGAAGCCUGUGCGCGAGAUUAUGGCUAGCUGCUGAGAUGUGGAGUUGAGGUCACAGUUGAUGGACCAGAUUCGCACGCUGGAUUGGUGGCGAUUGCCGAACCCUCCGUCUCUUCGGGUGUUCGGGUGAAUGGAUGAGGAGGGGUCCCUGAAGGCUGGAUCCGCCGCCUUGGACUUACAGUUCGUAUGGCGAAGACAGUGUGGUAGUGGUGGAUGGUGCUAUAAGGUGAUAAAUGAUCGUAGAACUGACAAUGUGAUAAAGCGGCCCAGAAGCCUCCCACUCUGUAACACAUUACA